GGCCCGUUGGUCAAGUGGUUAAGACACCGCCCUUUCACGGCGGUAACACGGGUUCGAACCCCGUACGGGUCA
Molecule: transfer RNA, 72 nt
Filed under: Bacillus toyonensis
Lineage: Bacteria; Bacillati; Bacillota; Bacilli; Caryophanales; Bacillaceae
Description: tRNA-Glu
Rfam family: tRNA
About the family: Transfer RNA (tRNA) molecules are approximately 80 nucleotides in length.
Source: RNAcentral